Long non-coding RNA from Onthophagus taurus, 484 nucleotides. RefSeq lists it as uncharacterized. Lineage: Eukaryota; Metazoa; Arthropoda; Insecta; Coleoptera; Scarabaeidae. The record is from RefSeq and is a predicted model, not a curated record.
UUUUUUUUUUGCCUUGCUGAAUAUGACUUUUUCUUUUAACAAAAAAUGCCGAAUUGAUGUGAUCGUGAAUUCAAAUUUCGAUAGGUGUUAGAGAUUUUAUUGACCAUUCUGCUGUUGAUAGCUACUUAUUAAUAGCCGAAACCGGUGUUUUAUAAUAAAGAGCAUGAAAGAAGUUUUUGGUUUAUUGAAAUUUUAUUCGAUGAGAGUGUGUUGUUGACUUGCAGCUUACAUCUUAUUGACGCUGUUGCAACUAAUAUGCAAUUAUACAGGAUCAUCCACGACGACCGUCCAUUACCUAACUAACUAUACAGGAACUAUACAGGCUGCCCAUUAUGUAUGGAAUAUAGUACAUAUAUAUAUCUUGAAAACAAACGAGCAACGAAUAAUACUUGAAGUUUUUUAAAUGGCAAUGUAUCCUUUCUUUAGGCUGAUUUGAUAGAAAUUACUUUUCUCUUUACGAUGACGUAAAAUUUUUAUACCCUUA